GCCGACGUAGCUCAGAUGGCAGAGCAGCUGAUUUGUAAUCAGCGGGUCGUGGGUUCGAUUCCCUCCGUCGGCUCCA
This 76-nucleotide transfer RNA is filed under the name Candidatus Handelsmanbacteria bacterium RIFCSPLOWO2_12_FULL_64_10. Its description in RNAcentral is "tRNA-Thr". It matches the Rfam family "tRNA". From Rfam's summary of the family: Transfer RNA (tRNA) molecules are approximately 80 nucleotides in length. Their secondary structure includes four short double-helical elements and three loops (D, anti-codon, and T loops). Further hydrogen bonds mediate the characteristic L-shaped molecular structure. tRNAs have two regions of fundamental functional importance: the anti-codon, which is responsible for specific mRNA codon recognition, and the 3' end, to which the tRNAs corresponding amino acid is attached (by aminoacyl-tRNA synthetases). tRNAs cope with the degeneracy of the genetic code in two manners: having more than one tRNA (with a specific anti-codon) for a particular amino acid; and 'wobble' base-pairing, i.e. permitting non-standard base-pairing at the 3rd anti-codon position. Lineage: Bacteria; Candidatus Handelsmaniibacteriota. RNAcentral also lists the same sequence under 2 other names. The record is from RNAcentral.